RNAcentral lists this ribosomal RNA (210 nucleotides) under uncultured bacterium. RNAcentral describes it as "partial 16S ribosomal RNA". It matches the Rfam family "Bacterial small subunit ribosomal RNA", at positions 524 to 734 of the family's 1533-position model. The record is from RNAcentral.
UACGUAGGUGGCAAGCGUUGUCCGGAAUUAUUGGGCGUAAAGCGCGCGCAGGCGGCCUUUUAAGUCUGAUGUGAAAGCCCACGGCUCAACCGUGGAAGGUCAUUGGAAACUGGAAGGCUUGAGUACAGAAGAGGAAAGCGGAAUUCCACGUGUAGCGGUGAAAUGCGUAGAUAUGAGGAGAACACCCGUGGCGAAGGCGGUCUUCUGGAC